AUGUUUGUGGAUCCCGUAAUGUCAGAUGAGGAGGAUGAGGAGGCAGAUGCCAACCAUGAAGGCAAGCUCCUUUCCCAUCUGGUUAAAGACACAACUGAAGUAGACUUGGAUGAUUGUCGUGGUGGGCGCACGGCAGAUGCCAAGGGAUGGCUAAAGAGAGGAGGAGGCUCGAGGGCGCUAGUGGGCUCCAGAGGCGAGGUUGGCAUGAGCGGGCGCGGGACGCCGGACAUACCCAGGUUCGGGGCUCUCUGGAGAGAUAAUACCCCUAGUCCUGCCGAGUAUAGUUGGAUAAUCGAUAGUACAAUGUUGCUCCUGGAGCUGUAUGGAGGAGGGAGGAAGCUGGCCAGGGCUUGGGCUGCUCCUUCUCUCCGGUGUUGCUGUUUUGUGGCAAGUCCUCCUGCUUUUCCUCCUGAAUGA
This 417-nucleotide ribosomal RNA is filed under the name Triticum aestivum (bread wheat). Its description in RNAcentral is "partial small subunit ribosomal RNA". The record is from RNAcentral. Lineage: Eukaryota; Viridiplantae; Streptophyta; Magnoliopsida; Poales; Poaceae.